Long non-coding RNA from Triticum dicoccoides, 1325 nucleotides. RefSeq lists it as uncharacterized. Lineage: Eukaryota; Viridiplantae; Streptophyta; Magnoliopsida; Poales; Poaceae. The record is from RefSeq and is a predicted model, not a curated record. The transcript is spliced from 2 exons.
GUUCCGCGGGGCCGGCGAUUUGGCCUAAAGCUAUGUACGGACUGGACUGGUGGCGACACAGAUUGAGAGCAUGUGCUUGGUCUCGCACGAGCCCCUUUCCCGUUCUUGCUGGGCGAAGAACAAGCUGAGCCACAAUAGCAGCCGGGUUGCUUCCUGUUCCGCCUGGAUCUGCUCAUGCCGAUCCCCGGAGCGACUACGCCGGAGGCGUUGGACUCUGGGUUAGUGAAUCCCUUCCUCUUGGUCAAAAUCUAGAUCUAACGAGCUCGCCCCGGUCGCCGGUGCUGCAGAUCAAUCUUGGUUGCUAGGGAUCGAGUGGUGCACGAGGCGCCGUGCGUUUUGGGCGGGGGCGGCGACGCUGCGCCCGAUUCGGCCGCAGGCUCGUCGGAUUCGGCCGUCUGACCGGUCUCGCCGGGCGUGGGUCAGUUGGAUCAAGGCGUGGCUUGGCCGAUGGCGAGUUUUCCGAGGCGUCCUGCAAGACCUUCAGCUCUGGAGGCGGAGAUGUGGCGUCCGGGUGCGCGACCCCUGCCGUCAUCUCGCACAACUCCGUCCAGUCCAGCGGCCGCAGUGGCGCGGCGGAUUCGUGCACGACAUUCAGUUCUGGGGUCGUGGUCCUGCCGUCGGCACGAGUCGGCGACGAGACGCCGGCCGCCGUCUCGAGUUGCGCCGUGCAGUCCCUACGUCACAGCGGACCGGCUUCGGCUAACACCACCAUCCGCGUUGGCUGGAAGCGCAGAAGCACGCGUGCCCCGGCAUUAUGCAUCCCACAACCAAAAGUCGCACGGGCCUCCGUCCUGCGUCAGUUCCAAAACUGAAUGAUGAACAAGAAAACACAACGCAACAGCAGAAAACGGCAACAUCUGAUGGAUGGGUGUUCAAAAAACAGACUUACUCCCUGGUUCAGGCACUUGUAAAAACGGACGCCAGGGUUCCGGUCUGUCCCAGAGACAAACCAUCUAGUCCUUGUCCCGGCACACCUCGGGCACAGGAUCAAUGGCAGCGGGGGACGGGGGUGUCCGAAGACGACGAGCGGAAGAUGAGCUCUAGGACAUCGCGGCACGGCGGCGUCGACGGAACGCGGCAACUCGAGGUGCUUGUGUGCGUGUUAGAAGGAGAACGGGCAAAACGAUUGGUACUGUCCACAGCUGGUGCAUGGGCCUUACAUACAUGCAGCUGGUGAAGUUUUUCCGUUACAGUGUUCAUCACAACGGUAAUAUUGCGUCCUUCAUCCUGCGCCCGCACAGUGCUCUGCAGGUGUGCGUCAGUCGCCCUGACAGUGCACGGUACACCGAAUACAGCAAAUACGCAGCACAGCGCUCGCUUUCGCC